Molecule: ribosomal RNA, 289 nt
Filed under: uncultured Pseudomonas sp.
Lineage: Bacteria; Pseudomonadati; Pseudomonadota; Gammaproteobacteria; Pseudomonadales; Pseudomonadaceae
Description: partial 16S ribosomal RNA
Rfam family: Bacterial small subunit ribosomal RNA
Source: RNAcentral
CGAGCGCAACCCUUGUCCUUAGUUACCAGCACGUUAUGGUGGGCACUCUAAGGAGACUGCCGGUGACAACCGGAGGAAGGUGGGGAUGACGUCAAGUCAUCAUGGCCCUUACGGCCUGGGCUACACACGUGCUACAAUGGUCGGUACAAAGGGUUGCCAAGCCGCGAGGUGGAGCUAAUCCCAUAAAACCGAUCGUAGUCCGGAUCGCAGUCUGCAACUCGACUGCGUGAAGUCGGAAUCGCUAGUAAUCGUGAAUCAGAAUGUCACGGUGAAUACGUUCCCGGGCCUU